Molecule: ribosomal RNA, 377 nt
Filed under: uncultured bacterium
Lineage: Bacteria
Description: bacterial SSU rRNA
Rfam family: Bacterial small subunit ribosomal RNA
Source: RNAcentral
UAUUGGACAAUGGGCGCAAGCCUGAUCCAGCCAUGCCGCGUGAGUGAUGAAGGCCCUAGGGUUGUAAAGCUCUUUUGUGCGGGAAGAUAAUGACGGUACCGCAAGAAUAAGCCCCGGCUAACUUCGUGCCAGCAGCCGCGGUAAUACGAAGGGGGCUAGCGUUGCUCGGAAUCACUGGGCGUAAAGGGUGCGUAGGCGGGUCUUUAAGUCAGGGGUGAAAUCCUGGGGCUCAACUCCAGAACUGCCUUUGAUACUGAAGAUCUUGAGUUCGGGAGAGGUGAGUGGAACUGCGAGUGUAGAGGUGAAAUUCGUAGAUAUUCGCAAGAACACCAGUGGCGAAGGCGGCUCACUGGCCCGAUACUGACGCUAGCACGAAA